RNAcentral lists this unclassified non-coding RNA (376 nucleotides) under uncultured Gammaproteobacteria bacterium. Its description in RNAcentral is "contains 16S-23S intergenic spacer region". Lineage: Bacteria; Pseudomonadati; Pseudomonadota; Gammaproteobacteria. The record is from RNAcentral.
UCCGGUUUGUCACCGGCAGUCUCAUUAGAGUGCCCAACUGAAUGUAGCAACUAAUGACAAGGGUUGCGCUCGUUGCGGGACUUAACCCAACAUCUCACGACACGAGCUGACGACAGCCAUGCAGCACCUGUGUUCAGGUUCCCUUUCGGGCACUUCCGCAUCUCUGCGGGAUUCCUGACAAGUCAGGGGUAGGUAAGGUUUUUCGCGUUGCAUCGAAUUAAUCCACAUAAUCCACCGCUUGUGCGGGUCCCCGUCAAUUCCUUUGAGUUUUAACCUUGCGGCCGUACUCCCCAGGCGGUCAACUUCACGCGUUAGCUACGGUACCAGGAGAUCGCUCCCCCAACACCCAGUUGACAUCGUUUAGGGCGUGGACUAC